This 482-nucleotide ribosomal RNA is filed under the name uncultured bacterium. Its description in RNAcentral is "partial 16S ribosomal RNA". It matches the Rfam family "Bacterial small subunit ribosomal RNA", at positions 30 to 507 of the family's 1533-position model. The record is from RNAcentral.
AUUGAACGCUGGCGGCAUGCCUUACACAUGCAAGUCGAACGGAAACGGGCCUUCUGGUGCCGCCGGGUGGCGGACGGGGGCGUAAUACAUCGGAACGUGCCCGAUCGUGGGGGGAAACGAGGCAAAAGCUUUGAUAAUACCUCAUACGAUAUACGGAUGCGAGCAGGGGGACGCAAGGGCUUGCGCGGGCGGUGCGGCCGAUGGUAGAUUGAGUAGUUGGUGGGAUAAAAGUUUACCAAGCAUACGAUUAGAAGCUGGUCUGAGAGGAUGAUCGGCCAGACUGGAACUGAGACACGGCCCAGACUCCUACGGGAGGCAGCAGUGGGGAAUUUUGCACAAUGGGCGCAAGCCUGAUCCAGCCAUGCCGCGUGAAGGAUGAAGGCCUUCGGGUUGUAAACUGCUUUUGUACGGAACGAAAAGCCGUCUUUUAAUACAUGAGGAUCAUGACGGUACCGUAAGAAUAAGCACCGGCUAACUACGUG